This 2680-nucleotide long non-coding RNA is filed under the name Sus scrofa (pig). RNAcentral's name for it is "lncRNA (ENSSSCG00055029427.1)". The record is from RNAcentral. Lineage: Eukaryota; Metazoa; Chordata; Mammalia; Artiodactyla; Suidae.
CAAGUUAUUUUUCUUUAAUACACAAUUCUUGACUAUACUUCUUUAUAGGACCACUAUUAUAUUGCUUAUCUUUGUGUUCAUCUGAUAUCCUAACAUCUACAUCAUACAGUAAGGGAAAUAUUUAACAGCUGCUUUUAUGUACUUGUUAGAAGAAAACUACUACCUAACAUUUUGCCUUAAAUGGUUUUUUUUUUUAAUAGACUGUCGUACCAUUACUGAUGAUGAUUUUUAUACUAAUAAAUAUCAGCAUGCAGGAGAGUUGUCUGUUUUAAUACAUACCAAAUAUAUUAACAUUCUGUAGUUCCUAGGGUGUGACAAAGCACCAAUAACCCAUAAGUUAUGACAUAAUGAAUAUGAAAAUCAAUGUAAAUUAAUCUAAAGCAGAUGAUAUAACGCCCUUAAAAGUGCACACAUAGGGAAAAGUUUGUUUCUAUAAUAAUCUAAAAAAUUCACCCCAAACUAUUGCUAUUAGUUAUGCUGCAAAAUCAUUUAAUUAAUUCUGACCAUUUUGGCCCUUUGACUAAAGACUAGAUUUAAGCAGAUGGAUUAAGGAAUUGGAGGAUAGUAAAUACUAACAGCUCUGAUGGGCAUCUUUCCAAAAAUCAAUUGUUGGACAAGGAAAAAUGGGAAGGAAGGAAAAGGAAGAAAAAGAAAGAAGGGGAAGGAAGCAAAGAGGAGCAAGUAGAGAGGGGAGCAAGGGAAGAGGAAGAGAGGGAGAAAAAGUAGAUAAUCCAUUUUUAAAUAUAAUAAAAUGUGGUUGCUCUUAACAGACUCAUUUGGGAAAUAAGUUAUUUGGUGAGUUAGUCGGAUAUAGCGGAAAUAGCACUAGACUAGGAGUCAGAAUACUUCAGUUCUGCUUCCAAAUAGAUCACCAGCUGCCAGUGUAAUUUUAGACAAAUAUGUUAACUCUUAUCUUUAGUCUCUUAAUUUGCAAAUUUAAAUGUUUAGACUAGCAUCUUUAAGGUCUCUUCCAGCCUUAAAACUCUCUGCUGUUAAGUAUUUCCACAGUAGAGGACAAAUUAAUUUAAGGCAAAUGAGAAAUGACAGAGAUAAUGAUACUGUUUAGAUGAGAGACAUUCUGUCUUCGUAAUUGACUGGACUUCUAAAAUGCCUUCCUUGUGCAAACUUGGUAUAUUAAGGGUUGUGUGAUUAUGGAGUUUUGAACAAGUGCCUUACUUGGUGUGUCGGCUAUGAGAUGUGGAGAUGGAUAAUAUACUCUUAGGCUGGCAUGAUUCUGACAUUCAUUACCAAAGAUGUCGCUGUUUAUGAUAUCUGGGGAGAGCCAUAAUGUACUAGUACACCUAGGAGACUGGUUGUAAACUUAUAUUAGGCAAUCAGGGAGAUGAUGAUAAACACUACUUGAAAGAAGCUAGUGACAUGAACAUAUUUUACCAGAUGCCUGUAAUACAAGAAUUCAGAUAAGCCCGCGCAUAUGUUUAGCUCUGGCAGUAGAAUUUAUACUCUGUGAGUUGAUCAAAUCACAUAAAAAUCAAGACUCCUUGAAGAAGUCGGUUGUCUACUUUUACUGAUCACUUGAGCUAUAUGGUGCAGUUAGAGCUGCCUUUGAAAUGGAAAGUAUUUAUUUAAUCCACAGACAAAAGGUUGUUCUCAGGAACUUCUCAACCACAAUUUCAACUAUUUUCUGGCAUGAUAAAUUUUCUUUCCCAGGUGCUUAUGCCAACAGGACCACUAUAAAUCAGCACUUGAAAAGGACCUGAAUUUUUAACUUGGAAAUACACGUUCAGAUAUUUGCAUUUAAAAGAUUGUUCACAAGUUGCUAAAACAUAAUAUAAAUGAAUACCUUUUCUUCCUAAACUUUGGAGAUGGAAUUUUAAAUGUAGCAGAAGUUCAUGGAACACACCUUAAUUGUUAAGUCAAAAACAAGGAGCUUAAAUCUUUUCAGAGCUAACAACUGUAAACUGUAAACUGUGUUACAUAUUUUCUCUGACAAAUAUGCAAAAAUAGAAGAUUUGGAAAAUCUCGACAGAUAAAAAAUCAUAAAGAAUUAAACACAGUUUUCCAUUUUUUUCUUAACUAAUUUUAUACCAAGAGACUUGGUCCAAAUGGUUAGAUACUCUUCAAAAUUAUGAUAAUAGUAAUUACACAAUAUCGUAUUUGUAGACAUGCCAUAAUUUAUCUCAUACUCUGCCUAACUGAAAGCACCUGUUUCAAAAUUUUCGUCAUUGUAAAUAGUGUUGACAUAAAGAUUUUUGCCCAUAAAUUUUUUUUUUUUAACCUCUGGACAAGCAAGCUGGACACCUAGAAUGUAAUCACAAAAUGAAAAAAUUAUGCCUUUUUUCAGUGCCAUUGGUAGGAAUCAUCCGAUGACUUUCAGAUCCACAAGGUGUGAGAGGUCUAAAUAUUCUGCCUUUGCAACAAAAAAGUAUGCUAAUUGGUUAAAAAAAAAAAACAUGUUGUUCAAAUUUACUUUCUUCUUAUUGGUAGUGAGGUUAACAUGAGGUUACUUUUAUUGGUACAAAAUUUCUCAUUCAUAUACGUACACAUCUGUAUAUAUAUUUGGCAUUUAUUAAGACUAUUAACUGAACUUCUCAUUGGAGACACAUCUGACAUAAAAAGUUGGGGACUAUGGUCAAAUGAUUUAAAAAUGCUAUACUGUACUAUUCCACUUGAAGAGUAAUAAUAACUGUUGGUAUGUGAAAGACUCAGCUGAUGCAUAGUG